GACGAACGCUGGCGGCGUGCCUAAUACAUGCAAGUAGAACGCUGAAGGAGGAGCUUGCUCUUCUGGAUGAGUUGCGAACGGGUGAGUAACGCGUAGGUAACCUGCCUCGUAGCGGGGGAUAACUAUUGGAAACGAUAGCUAAUACCGCAUAAGAGUAGAUGUUGCAUGACAUUUACUUAAAAAGUGCAUUUGCAUCACUACAAGAUGGACCUGCGUUGUAUUAGCUAGUGGUUGGGGUAACGGCUUACCAAGACGACGAUACAGAGCCGACCUGAGAGGGUGAUAGGCCACACUGGGACGGAGACACGGACCAGACUGAUACGGGAGGCAGCCGUAGGGAAUCUUCGGCAAUGGACGGAAGUCUGACCGAGAAACGCGGAGUGAGUGAAGAAGGUUGUCGGAUGGUAAAGCUCUGUUGUAAGAGAAGAAAGAGCGUGAGAGUGGAAAGUUCACAAUGUGACGGUACCUGACCAGAAAGGGACGGCUAACUACGUG
This 495-nucleotide ribosomal RNA is filed under the name uncultured bacterium. Its description in RNAcentral is "partial 16S ribosomal RNA". It matches the Rfam family "Bacterial small subunit ribosomal RNA", at positions 28 to 507 of the family's 1533-position model. The record is from RNAcentral.